This 372-nucleotide long non-coding RNA is filed under the name Paramuricea clavata. The record is from RNAcentral. Lineage: Eukaryota; Metazoa; Cnidaria; Anthozoa; Malacalcyonacea; Plexauridae.
AAACAGGGGCGUAGGAAGCGAGGGGGCACGGGGGGCACGUGCCCCCCAAAUUUUUUUAAAGGGCUAAAAGUGCCCUUUUUUGUGAUAAAAAGUGCCCUUUUUGUGUUGAAAAGUGCCCUUUUUUGUGAGGAAAAGUGCCCCUUUUGUAGAAGCUAAUGUCGCUGUAAAUACUAAAUUAAAACAAUAGGUACCGUUUUUGUGUGGAAAUUUACAAAUUUUUUUUAAAAAUUAGGUCACAAACAUAAAUUUCGGUAUGAUACGACGGAAAAUUUUCCUCAGGAGAAAUUUCUCCCCCCCCCCCGUCGACAACAUUUCCGGGAAAAAUUUUUUAGGUGCCCUUUCCGAUAGUAAUGUGCCCCUACAAGCCGGUGC